This 545-nucleotide ribosomal RNA is filed under the name uncultured bacterium. RNAcentral's name for it is "bacterial SSU rRNA". It matches the Rfam family "Bacterial small subunit ribosomal RNA", at positions 777 to 1320 of the family's 1533-position model. The record is from RNAcentral.
AAUAGAUACCCGGGUAGUCCACGCCGUAAACGAUGGGUGCUAAGUGUUAGGGGGUUUCCGCCCCUUAGUGCUGCAGCUAACGCAUUAAGCACUCCGCCUGGGGAGUACGGUCGCAAGACUGAAACUCAAAGGAAUUGACGGGGGCCCGCACAAGCGGUGGAGCAUGUGGUUUAAUUCGAAGCAACGCGAAGAACCUUACCAGGUCUUGACAUCCCAUUGACCGCUAUGGAGACAUAGCUUUCCCUUCGGGGACAGUGGUGACAGGUGGUGCAUGGUUGUCGUCAGCUCGUGUCGUGAGAUGUUGGGUUAAGUCCCGCAACGAGCGCAACCCUUGUUCUUAGUUGCCAUCAUUUAGUUGGGCACUCUAAGGAGACUGCCGGUGACAAACCGGAGGAAGGUGGGGAUGACGUCAAAUCAUCAUGCCCCUUAUGACCUGGGCUACACACGUGCUACAAUGGACGGUACAAACGGUUGCCAACCCGCGAGGGGGAGCUAAUCCGAUAAAACCGUUCUCAGUUCGGAUUGUAGGCUGCAACUCGCCUACA